This 429-nucleotide ribosomal RNA is filed under the name uncultured bacterium. Its description in RNAcentral is "bacterial SSU rRNA". It matches the Rfam family "Bacterial small subunit ribosomal RNA", at positions 355 to 775 of the family's 1533-position model. The record is from RNAcentral.
UGGGGAAUUGUUCGCAAUGGGCGCAAGCCUGACGACGCAACGCCGCGUGGAGGACGAAGAUCUUCGGGUCGUAAACUCCUGUCGAGUGGGAAGAACGCUUCGGGGGCGAAUAUCCUCCGGAAUUGACGGUACCACUAAAGGAAGCCCCGGCUAACUCCGUGCCAGCAGCCGCGGUAAUACGGGGGGGGCAAGCGUUGUUCGGAAUUACUGGGCGUAAAGGGCUCGUAGGCGGCCAACUAAGUCGGAUGUGAAAUCCCCAGGCUUAACCUGGGAACUGCAUCCGAUACUGGAUGGCUUGAAUUCGGGAGAGGGAUGCAGAAUUCCAGGUGUAGCGGUGAAAUGCGUAGAUAUCUGGAGGAAUACCGGUGGCGAAGGCGGCAUCCUGGACCGAGAUUGACGCUGAUGAGCGAAAGCUAGGGGAGCAAACGG